CAACUGAAAAUACAACGCUAGUUGAAAUCAGCAAAUACAACAAUAACAGUUUUAAAAUUCAGAUUAAUUUUACAAAGAUUUUUCCGGUACCUAAAUGCUCAGCUCACACGAAGACCUGGAAAUUGAAUUUCAAAAAUACAAGUAUCGUUGAAGAAAGAAUUUUCUACAAAGUAUCGUUAAUGUUGAUGCAUGAUGUUGAAGAACAAUGUAAUACAGAAUUAGAAAUUCAUUGUACCGUUGGCAGAUUCACACACUAUGACAAAACAAUUCCAUUCAUGCAAUGCUCGAGCACAAUUCCUACGACUAUUAAACUGACUCUAAUAUGUCUAAGUGGAGUGAUAUUUAUAGUAUUCCUGAUUGUGCUUUUGUAUA
Molecule: long non-coding RNA, 372 nt
Organism: Mytilus californianus (California mussel)
Lineage: Eukaryota; Metazoa; Mollusca; Bivalvia; Mytilida; Mytilidae
Exons: 3
Source: RefSeq, a predicted model, not a curated record